CUACGGGUGGCAGCAGUGAGGAAUAUUGCACAAUGGGGGGAACCCUGAUGCAGCAACGCCGCGUGGAGGAUGACGCAUUUCGGUGUGUAAACUCCUUUUAUAUGUCAAGAAAAUGACGGUAGCAUAUGAAUAAGCACCGGCUAACUCCGUGCCAGCAGCCGCGGUAAUACGGAGGGUGCAGGCGUUACUCGGAAUCACUGGGCGUAAAGGACGCGUAGGCGGGUUGGAAAGUCAGGUGUGAAAUCCUACAGCUUAACUGGAGAACUGCACUUGAAACUUCUAAUCUAGAGUAUGGGAGGGGGAGAUGGAAUUAGUGGUGUAGGGGUAAAAUCCGUAGAUAUCACUAGGAAUACCUAAAGCGAAGGCGAUCUCCUGGAACAUUACUGACGCUAAGGCGUGAAAGCGUGGGGAGCAAACAGGAUUAGAUACCCGAGUAGUC
RNAcentral lists this ribosomal RNA (439 nucleotides) under uncultured bacterium. RNAcentral describes it as "partial 16S ribosomal RNA". It matches the Rfam family "Bacterial small subunit ribosomal RNA", at positions 339 to 795 of the family's 1533-position model. The record is from RNAcentral.